UAUCGAAUCUAACAUGGAAGAGGUAGAGAGACUGUGCUGGCCGAUCGCCGAUCGGCAUGUGCACGUCCCCUCGCCUUUUUCUGUCUACAUACACCUGUGCACCUAUUGUAGAUCCCCUCGAAAGAGAGGGAACUAUGUUUUCAUCACAUCACACACAAAGAAUGUCUAGAAUGUAAACAUGAUCAUAUAUACAACUUUCAGCAACGGAUCUCUUGGCUCUCGCAUCGAUGAAGAACGCAGCGAAUUGCGAUAAGUAAUGUGAAUUGCAGAUUUCCAGUGAAUCAUCGAAUCUUUGAACGCACCUUGCGCUCCUUGGUAUUCCGAGGAGCAUGCCUGUUUGAGUGUCAUCGAAUUCUCAACCAUGAACUUUGAGAUCAUGGCUUGGAGUUGGAAGUUGCUGGCCGGAAGGUCAGCUCUUCUUAAACGGAUUAGCGAUCGAGUUGGCUAGUCUUUGACGUACACGGCCUCGGACGUGAUAAUGAUCGUCCUGGCUGGAGCGUCUUUUUUGUAGACUAUGCACACAGAUGGCUUCUAAUAAGAAUGGUCGAGCGAGCUUAGCUAUUAGGCAGUCUGCUGUUUGUUAAGGCAAGGCAAGGCUGGCGAACGCAAGCGCAAGCUUGAAUUAUGGACCAUGAUCAGCGACUUG
This 646-nucleotide unclassified non-coding RNA is filed under the name Boletus sp. 1 CG-2012. RNAcentral's name for it is "sequence contains ITS1, 5.8S rRNA gene, ITS2". The stretch from base 193 to 347 matches the Rfam family "5.8S ribosomal RNA". The record is from RNAcentral. Lineage: Eukaryota; Fungi; Basidiomycota; Agaricomycetes; Boletales; Boletaceae.